GACAGAGGCCUCGAGCGUUAGGCGGAAUCACUGGGCUUAAAGCGUGUGUAGGCGGAAGCGUAAGUACCUUGUGAAAUCCCACGGCUCAACCGUGGAACCGCAGGGCAUACUGCUGAUCUUGAGGAAGGUAGAGGCCGGUGGAACGAUAGGUGGAGCGGUGGAAUGCGUAGAGAUCUAUCGGAACGCCAAUGGUGAAGACAGCCGGCUGGGCCUUUCCUGACGCUGAGGCACGAAAGCGUGGGGAGCAAACAGG
This 253-nucleotide ribosomal RNA is filed under the name uncultured bacterium. RNAcentral's name for it is "partial 16S ribosomal RNA". It matches the Rfam family "Bacterial small subunit ribosomal RNA", at positions 524 to 776 of the family's 1533-position model. The record is from RNAcentral.